GAUGAACGCUGGCGGCGUGCCUAAUACAUGCAAGUCGAGCGAACAGACGAGGAGCUUGCUCCUCUGACGUUAGCGGCGGACGGGUGAGUAACACGUGGAUAACCUACCUAUAAGACUGGGAUAACUUCGGGAAACCGGAGCUAAUACCGGAUAAUAUAUUGAACCGCAUGGUUCAAUAGUGAAAGACGGUUUUGCUGUCACUUAUAGAUGGAUCCGCGCCGCAUUAGCUAGUUGGUAAGGUAACGGCUUACCAAGGCAACGAUGCGUAGCCGACCUGAGAGGGUGAUCGGCCACACUGGAACUGAGACACGGUCCAGACUCCUACGGGAGGCAGCAGUAGGGAAUCUUCCGCAAUGGGCGAAAGCCUGACGGAGCAACGCCGCGUGAGUGAUGAAGGGUUUCGGAUCGUAAAACUCUGUUAUUAGGGAAGAACAAAUGUGUAAGUAACUAUGCACGUCUUGACGGUACCUAAUCAGAAAGCCACGGCUAACUACGUG
This 497-nucleotide ribosomal RNA is filed under the name uncultured bacterium. Its description in RNAcentral is "partial 16S ribosomal RNA". It matches the Rfam family "Bacterial small subunit ribosomal RNA", at positions 28 to 507 of the family's 1533-position model. The record is from RNAcentral.